RNAcentral lists this transfer RNA (82 nucleotides) under Flaviramulus basaltis. It matches the Rfam family "tRNA". From Rfam's summary of the family: Transfer RNA (tRNA) molecules are approximately 80 nucleotides in length. Their secondary structure includes four short double-helical elements and three loops (D, anti-codon, and T loops). Further hydrogen bonds mediate the characteristic L-shaped molecular structure. tRNAs have two regions of fundamental functional importance: the anti-codon, which is responsible for specific mRNA codon recognition, and the 3' end, to which the tRNAs corresponding amino acid is attached (by aminoacyl-tRNA synthetases). tRNAs cope with the degeneracy of the genetic code in two manners: having more than one tRNA (with a specific anti-codon) for a particular amino acid; and 'wobble' base-pairing, i.e. permitting non-standard base-pairing at the 3rd anti-codon position. The record is from Rfam by way of RNAcentral. Lineage: Bacteria; Pseudomonadati; Bacteroidota; Flavobacteriia; Flavobacteriales; Flavobacteriaceae. RNAcentral also lists the same sequence under 3 other names.
GCUCAAGUGGCGGAAUUGGUAGACGCGCUGGAUUCAAAAUCCAGUAACUUCGGUUGUGUGGGUUCGAUUCCCACCUUGAGUA